RNAcentral lists this ribosomal RNA (494 nucleotides) under uncultured bacterium. RNAcentral describes it as "partial 16S ribosomal RNA". It matches the Rfam family "Bacterial small subunit ribosomal RNA", at positions 29 to 507 of the family's 1533-position model. The record is from RNAcentral.
ACGAACGCUGGCGGCGUGCCUAAUACAUGCAAGUAGAACGCUGAAGGAGGAGCUUGCCUCUCUGGAUGAGUUGCGAACGGGUGAGUAACGCGUAGGUAACCUGCCUGGUAGCGGGGGAUAACUAUUGGAAACGAUAGCUAAUACCGCAUAAUAGUAGAUGUUGCAUGACAUUUGCUUAAAAGGUGCAAUUGCAUCACUACCAGAUGGACCUGCGUUGUAUUAGCUAGUUGGUGAGGUAACGGCUCACCAAGGCAACGAUACAUAGCCGACCUGAGAGGGUGAUCGGCCACACUGGGACUGAGACACGGCCCAGACUCCUACGGGAGGCAGCUGUAGGGAAUCUUCGGCAAUGGACGGAAGUCUGACCGAGCAACGCCGCGUGAGUGAAGAAGGUUUUCGGAUCGUAAAGCUCUGUUGUAAGAGAAGAACGAGUGUGAGAGUGGAAAGUUCACACUGUGACGGUAUCUUACCAGAAAGGGACGGCUAACUACGUG